RNAcentral lists this ribosomal RNA (253 nucleotides) under uncultured bacterium. RNAcentral describes it as "partial 16S ribosomal RNA". It matches the Rfam family "Bacterial small subunit ribosomal RNA", at positions 524 to 776 of the family's 1533-position model. The record is from RNAcentral.
UACGUAGGGUGCAAGCGUUAAUCGGAAUUACUGGGCGUAAAGCGUGCGCAGACGGUUUUGUAAGUCAGAUGUGAAAUCCCCGGGCUUAACCUGGGAACUGCGUUUGAAACUACAAGGCUAGAGUGUGACAGAGGGGGGUGGAAUUCCACGUGUAGCAGUGAAAUGCGUAGAGAUGUGGAGGAACACCGAUGGCGAAGGCAGCCCCCUGGGUUAACACUGACGCUCAGGCACGAAAGCGUGGGGAGCAAACAGG